GAUAUCCCAUUUCGGGAUUCAUUUCUAUAUUGUUUAUUUUCUGUUUUAUCUGUGCAUGUUGUCGUAAUGAUAGUUGAAAUAUCAAGAAGCUUGACUGAUCAGCAAACUAAGAUUCAAAAUGAUUUCACUCUUCUUUGAUUUAGUUUAUUGGUGAUACAUGUUUCAAGGUUUGAUAUUAUGACGUAGAUGUCUCUACAAGAUCGAUUACCAUAUGUUGUAGGCAAUUUGAUAUCUCCUUUCCGUCUAUUCACCAAGCAGAAGGAUGGGUUAUUUGGAUUUUCGAAAGAUUACUCUGAUUUAAAGCUCUAUCAUUCUAAAGAGAAUUGAAGUAAUGAGAGGUUUAUGGGCAGAAGGGUAUGCAGAGAUUAAACAAUAUUAAUUUGGAACAGCUCUAUACUUCUCUCUUUGAUGAUCCCAUGUUGGCAAAAUUUGGUUCCUCAAUCUGAUUUUUCGAGGAAAGCAUAUGGACAAGUUUCCAUUUGAUCGAGAUGUCUGGUAUAGCUUCUUUUCAUAUCAUGGUAGUGGAAAUGGAUAUUAGCAAAACUUAAGCAAAGUUUAAUGGCUAUUCUCCGAAACAC
Nicotiana tabacum (common tobacco) is the source of this 578-nucleotide non-coding RNA. NCBI's taxonomy places the organism in Eukaryota, Viridiplantae, Streptophyta, Magnoliopsida, Solanales, Solanaceae. The record is from RefSeq and is a predicted model, not a curated record.